Molecule: ribosomal RNA, 428 nt
Filed under: uncultured bacterium
Lineage: Bacteria
Description: bacterial SSU rRNA
Rfam family: Bacterial small subunit ribosomal RNA
Source: RNAcentral
UGGGGAAUUUUGCGCAAUGGGCGAAAGCCUGACGCAGCAAUGCCGCGUGAGUGAUGAAGGUUUUAGGAUCGUAAAGCUCUGUCAGUGGGGAAGAAACUAUUGUCCGAUAAUAUCAGGCAGUACUGACGGUACCCACAAAGGAAGCACCGGCUAACUCCGUGCCAGCAGCCGCGGUAAUACGGAGGGUGCAAGCGUUGUUCGGAAUUAUUGGGCGUAAAGAGCAUGUAGGCGGUUGUUUAAGUCUGGUGUGAAAGCCCGGGGCUCAACCCCGGAAGUGCAUUGGAUACUGGACAACUUGAGUACGGGAGAGGAAAGUGGAAUUCCGAGUGUAGGGGUGAAAUCCGUAGAUAUUCGGAGGAACACCAGUGGCGAAGGCGGCUUUCUGGACCGAUACUGACGCUGAGAUGCGAAAGCGUGGGGAGCAAACA